AUUUCUCUGAGAUGUUCGCAAGCGGGCCAGUCCCCUGAGCCGAUAUUUCAUACCAUAAGAAUGUGGCGCUCCGCGGUUGGUGAGCAUGCUCGGUCCGUCCGAGAAGCCUUAAAACUGCGACGACACAUUCACCUUGAACCAAGGGUUCAAGGGUUACAGCCUGCGGCGGCAUCUCGGAGAUUCC
RNAcentral lists this non-coding RNA (184 nucleotides) under Escherichia coli. RNAcentral's name for it is "6S RNA". It matches the Rfam family "6S / SsrS RNA". Rfam says of the family: E. coli 6S RNA was the first non coding RNA to be sequenced, but its function was unknown until recently. It consists of 184 nucleotides that fold into an extended hairpin structure with a large single-stranded internal bulge. Lineage: Bacteria; Pseudomonadati; Pseudomonadota; Gammaproteobacteria; Enterobacterales; Enterobacteriaceae. The record is from RNAcentral.